CAGUCGCCGCGGUAAUGCGUAGGGUGCGAGCGUUGCUCGGAAUGACUGGGCGUAAAGGGCGCGUAGGCGGCGGCCAAAGUCAGGCGUGAAAUUCCUGGGCUCAACCUGGGGGCUGCGCUUGAUACUUGGUUGCUUGAGUGGGGAAGAGGGUCGUGGAAUUCCCAGUGUAGAGGUGAAAUUCGUAGAUAUUGGGAAGAACACCGGUGGCGAAGGCGGCGACCUGGUCCUUGACUGACGCUGAGGCGCGAAAGCGUGGGGAGCAAACAGGAUUAGAGACCCGGGUAGUCCCUGUCUCUUAUAC
This 301-nucleotide ribosomal RNA is filed under the name uncultured bacterium. RNAcentral describes it as "partial 16S ribosomal RNA". It matches the Rfam family "Bacterial small subunit ribosomal RNA", at positions 509 to 807 of the family's 1533-position model. The record is from RNAcentral.